UACGUAGGGGGCAAGCGUUAUCCGGAUUUACUGGGUGUAAAGGGAGCGUAGGCGGCUUAGUAAGUCAGAAGUGAAAGCCCGCAGCUCAACUGCGGGACUGCUUUUGAAACUGCCAGGCUAGAGUGUCGGAGAGGCAAUCGGAAUUCCGUGUGUAGCGGUGAAAUGCGUAGAUAUACGGAGGAACACCAGUGGCGAAGGCGGAUUGCUGGACAGUAACUGACGCUGAGGCGCGAAAGCGUGGGGAGCAAACAGG
This 253-nucleotide ribosomal RNA is filed under the name uncultured Eubacteriales bacterium. RNAcentral describes it as "uncultured Clostridiales bacterium partial 16S ribosomal RNA". It matches the Rfam family "Bacterial small subunit ribosomal RNA", at positions 524 to 776 of the family's 1533-position model. The record is from RNAcentral. Lineage: Bacteria; Bacillati; Bacillota; Clostridia; Eubacteriales.